Molecule: long non-coding RNA, 2718 nt
Organism: Patella vulgata (common limpet)
Lineage: Eukaryota; Metazoa; Mollusca; Gastropoda; Patellidae
Exons: 2
Source: RefSeq, a predicted model, not a curated record
AUUUUCAACGAUUUUCGAUAAUUACUGCCUGACUUAUGGCCCUUGAUCACUUCAAAAAAUCUUGUGGACGCUCUAGAGGUCAAAGUUAAUAUCCUAUUGACUUUAAAUUUAUACACAGUGUUUAAGGUCAUAGGAUGAAGAAGCCUAUUGAUUUUCAACGAUUUUCGAUAAUUACUGCCAGAGUUAUGGCCCUUGAUCACUUUGAAAAAUCUGGUGGACGCUCUAGAGGCUAAAGUUAAUAUCCGAUUGACUUUAAAUUUAUACACAUUGUUUAAGGUCAUGAGACGAAGAAGCCUAUUGAUUUUCAGCAAUUUCCAAUAAUUACUGCCAGAGUUAUGGCCCUUGAUCACUUUGAUAAAUCUUGUUCACGCUCUAGAGGCUAAAGUUAAUAUCCUAUUGACUUUAAAUUUAUACACAGUGUUUAAGGUCAUGAGACGAGGAAGCCCAUUGAUUUUCAGCGAUUUUCCAUAAUUACUGCCAGAGUUAUGGCCCUUGAUCACUUUGAAAAAUUUUGUGGACGAUCUAGAGGCUAAAGUUAAUAUCCGAAUGACUUUAAAUUUAUACACAGUUUUUGAGGCAUGAGAUGAAGAAUCAUAUUGAUUUUCAACGAUUUCGGACAAUGAGGUACCGGCAGAAUUAAACCGGAAGCUAGGUGGCGCGCAAAGAAAGUAGGACACGGAAGUGUCAGUCUCGUCUGCUCUACGCUUCACUGACAAUCAUUUUCAUUCUCACCGCCCGUUUUGGUUUUCUGUGUGAAUUAAAUAAUGCCAGCUCAUUGUUGCGUACCGAUGUGUAAUGGGAAAGGUGGGCAUAAAUUUCCGCUGGACCCUGUUGAGAGACGGCGAUGGAUUCAGGCCGUAAAAAGAGGAGAAAGUGACUGGACACCGUCUAAGUGGAGUAUUGUUUGUCGAUCGCAUUUUGAUUCUUCUGACUACAUUUCAGAAACCAAAGAAAGUAAGUUGACAAAAUACAUUUUUAUAUUUUGACUUUUUUUAGGAAUUAGAUUGAGAAAUAUUUUCAAUUAGAUCUAGUCCAAAGUUUUAAGGAUUACAAUUUCGGCGUUCGCUGCCAAGAGGAACUAGAAAUUUUAGGCCUAUCAAAACGUGUCACUAUUAAUAGUAUUAAUACUAGGCCUAUAUUAGUAUUUUAUGACUAGGCUAUACCAGGAGGGCCAAAGGACAGCUGGUGGCAAUCUACUCUUACUCUUACUUAGGCCUAAAUAGAAAACAGAUCUUGUGUAUAGCCCUUGGUAAAAUACUGUAUAUUUGCAAUACUACAGCAAUUAAGGCCUAGGAAUGAUUCUCAUUUAAUUAAAAUUUAGCCUAAAUUUAAGGCCAAAUUAGGCAUGCCUUGGUAAAACUAAAAUGCUGUAUAUUUACAAUACUACAACAAGGCCUAGGAAUGAUUCUCAUUUAAUUAAAAUUUAGCCUAUGGCUAUGCCUAUAUAUGAGUAAAAAAAAGUAAAAUUUUUUUUGUACUAGACUACUGUUAAAUCUACCGGUAUUUGAUUGUAUUUUUAAUAUUAAUUAUUCCAGGGGAUCAAAUGGUCAAUAGUAUAUUGAAGCCAGGAGCGAUUCCACAUUUAUUUGCUUGGAAAAGAACAAGUUUAUCAGGUAGUAGGCGCAGAGAAAGAGCCCUACAUAAACAACUUCUGAAAAUGUAGGAAACGAAGUUGAAAUAGAAUACAUCGAAGAGGACUUUACUCCUAUCGAAGUUAAAAGUGAACCUGAUACAAAAGACUCUGCUACUCAAGUUGAUAUGUCAAUGCGCUUCUGUGCCCGAAAAUACAUGUUGAGUUCGGAGAAAUUUCUAUAUUAUACUGGACUAGAAAGCUAUGAUGCUUUUAUGUGUUUGUUUUACUCGUUUGGGCCAGUAGUUGAUGAACUUAGGUAUUUUUAUGCGACAAAACCUAAGAUGUCAACAGAGGACCAGUUUUUUCUGACUUUGGUUAAACUUAGACUUGGGAGGAGUAAUUUAGAGUUGUCUGACACAUUUGAAAUAUGUGAAAAAGAGCUUAUGAACAUAUUUAUAACAUGGAUAAAUUUCAUGUAUUUUCACUUUAAGGAAAUUAACUGGUGGCCAUCCAAAGACUUGGUAAAGUUUUACAGUCCUGCAGACUUUAAGUCUAAGUUUCCGACAACAAGGAUAGUAAUUGAUGGUACGGAAAUACCAAUACAAAGGCCAAAACAACCCAUUAUUCAGCAAGGCACAUUUUCCACAUAUAAAAACAGAAAUACGGUUAAGGUCCUUGUAGGUGUUACACCAGGGGGUCUUGUGAGUUAUGUGUCCGAUGCAUUUGGUGGUGCAGCCAGUGAUAGGCAGAUAUGCGAGAGAAGCUGUCUAAUGAAUUUAUGUGAAUCUGGUGACUCUGUCAUGGCAGAUAAGGGGUUUAAUGUCCAAGAUCUGUUCAUACCGUCAAAUGUGGAAAUUAACAUUCCAGAAUUUUUUUAAAAAAAGAACAGGAUGUCUGGACAUUCAGUAGCAAAUGAUCGAAAAAUAGCCAGCAAACGAGUGCACGUUGAACGAAUUAUCGGACUAGCCAAGACAUUUAAAAUAUUGAAAAAACCUCUAAAUAAUACAGAAUCAAAUUUGUCAGAUGCAAUUAUUUCAGUUUGUUUUUAUUUAUGUAAUUUUAGACCAGCCAUUGUCCACAAUGAUGCCUAAGUUGACGUGUAUUGAUCUUGUAACAUUGGAUAGAAUAAAACAUAUUAACUCUGA